GGGAGGCAGCAGUGAGGAAUAUUGCACAAUGGGCGCAAGCCUGAUGCAGUAACGCCGCGUGCGGGAAGAAGGCCUUCGGGUCGUAAACCGCUUUUCGGGGGGACGAGACAGGACGGUACCCCCGGAAUCAGUCUCGGCUAACUACGUGCCAGCAGCCGCGGUAAAACGUAGGAGGCGAGCGUUAUCCGGAUUCACUGGGCGUAAAGCGCAUGUAGGUGGUUCGUUAAGUAGGUAGUGAAAGCCCCCGGCUCAACUGGGGGAGGUCUGCCUAAACUGGCGGACUUGAGGUUCCGAGAGGCAGGUGGAAUUCCCGGUGUAGCGGUGGAAUGCGUAGAGAUCGGGAGGAACACCAGUGGCGAAAGCGGCCUGCUGGCGGAAUUCUAACACUGAGAUGCGAAAGCGUGGGUAGCAAACGGGAUUAGAUACCCGUGUAGUCCC
Molecule: ribosomal RNA, 438 nt
Filed under: uncultured bacterium
Lineage: Bacteria
Description: bacterial SSU rRNA
Rfam family: Bacterial small subunit ribosomal RNA
Source: RNAcentral